UAAAAAUAGCGUGUAUGUACA
Molecule: non-coding RNA, 21 nt
Filed under: Caenorhabditis elegans
Lineage: Eukaryota; Metazoa; Nematoda; Chromadorea; Rhabditida; Rhabditidae
Source: RNAcentral